GACGUGCUAAUCUGCGAUAAGCGUCGGUAAGGUGAUAUGAACCGUUAUAACCGGCGAUUUCCGAAUGGGGAAACCCAGUGUGAUUCGUCACACUAUCAUUAACUGAAUCCAUAGGUUAAUGAGGCGAACCGGGGGAACUGAAACAUCUAAGUACCCCGAGGAAAAGAAAUCAACCGAGAUUCCCCCAGUAGCGGCGAGCGAACGGGGAGCAGCCCAGAGCCUGAAUCAGUGUGUGUGUUAGUGGAAGCGUCUGGAAAGGCGUGCGAUACAGGGUGACAGCCCCGUACACAAAAAUGCACAUACUGUGAGCUCGAUGAGUAGGGCGGGACACGUGGUAUCCUGUCUGAAUAUGGGGGGACCAUCCUCCAAGGCUAAAUACUCCUGACUGACCGAUAGUGAACCAGUACCGUGAGGGAAAGGCGAAAAGAACCCCGGCGAGGGGAGUGAAAAAGAACCUGAAACCGUGUACGUACAAGCAGUGGGAGCACGCUUAGGCGUGUGACUGCGUACCUUUUGUAUAAUGGGUCAGCGACUUAUAUUCUGUAGCAAGGUUAACCGAAUAGGGGAGCCGAAGGGAAACCGAGUCUUAACUGGGCGUUAAGUUGCAGGGUAUAGACCCGAAACCCGGUGAUCUAGCCAUGGGCAGGUUGAAGGUUGGGUAACACUAACUGGAGGACCGAACCGACUAAUGUUGAAAAAUUAGCGGAUGACUUGUGGCUGGGGGUGAAAGGCCAAUCAAACCGGGAGAUAGCUGGUUCUCCCCGAAAGCUAUUUAGGUAGCGCCUCGUGAAUUCAUCUCCGGGGGUAGAGCACUGUUUCGGCAAGGGGGUCAUCCCGACUUACCAACCCGAUGCAAACUGCGAAUACCGGAGAAUGUUAUUACGGGAGACACACGGCGGGUGCUAACGUCCGUCGUGAAGAGGGAAACAACCCAGACCGCCAGCUAAGGUCCCAA
RNAcentral lists this ribosomal RNA (955 nucleotides) under Shigella flexneri. RNAcentral's name for it is "partial 23S ribosomal RNA". It matches the Rfam family "Bacterial large subunit ribosomal RNA", at positions 55 to 1050 of the family's 2925-position model. Lineage: Bacteria; Pseudomonadati; Pseudomonadota; Gammaproteobacteria; Enterobacterales; Enterobacteriaceae. The record is from RNAcentral.